GAUUAUUAAUUGAAUGUGAAUUAGAAUAUAAUACUCCUAUCUUGCCAUUAAAGAAAUCCAGUGGGAAAAAUUACAGAGUAGUUCAAGAUCUCAGAGCAAUCAACAAAAUUGUGGAGGAUAUUCAUCCAGUAGUACCUAAUCUGUAUACUUUAUUGACUAAAUUGAAAACUAACCAGGAGUGGUUUAAUGUUCUGGACUUAAAGGAUGCAUUUUUCUGUCUGCCCCUGGCCAAAGAAAGUCAACAUUUAUUUGCUUUUGAAUGGGAAAACCCUGAAACAGGAAGAAGGACAGCUCACCCGCUCACCCGGAGGGUGUUACCUCAGGGAUUUAAAAACAUUCUGACCAUUUUUGGAAAUCAGUUGGCACUAGAAUUAGAAUUCUGGGAAGCACCCACCCAGACAGGAACUUUACUACAGUAUGUGGAUGACCUGUUAAUUGCUACCAAAACUGAGAAAGAAUGUGUUCAAUGGAUUGUAGAAGUGUUAAACUUUCUGGGGCUAAAUGGAUACCGGGUAUCUAAAUUGAAGGCUCAACUAAUUCGAACUCAAGUAUCUUAUUUAGGAUGCAAAAUAACAGGAGGACAACCAGAACUUGGAGCAGCUAAGAAGGAAGCAAUCUGCCAAACACUGUGACCAUCCACAGUUAAAGAUAUCCGGACAUUUCUGGGAAUGACAGGAUGGUGUCAACUCUGGAUCCAUGAUUAUGGUGUUCUGCAUCUUUCCUUCAGGAAACCCCUACUGAACUGUUGACUCACGAUUGCUUGGCCACUAUAGAGACAGUAUAUUUGAGCUAACCAGAUUCUGAAGGAGGAGCCUCUGAAGGGUGCAGAUUCCUGGUUCACUGAUGGCAGCAGCUUUGUUAAAGAUGGUUAACGAUGCCAUAACUACAACUUCAAAGAUAAUAGAAGCUAAACCUUUACCCCCUAACACCUCAGCACAAAAGGCAGAAAUAAUAGCCUUGACUAGAGCCUUGGAGUCGGCAAAGGACAAGCAGAUAAACAUAUGGACUGAUUCCAAAUAUGCCUUUGGUGUAGUUCAUGCACAUGGAGCAAUUUGGAAAGAAGGAGGACUUUUUAAAUACCCAUGGAAGACAAAUUAAACAUGCAGCAGAAAUUCUAUGAUUGUUAGAAGCUGUACAAUUACCCAAUGAAGGGGCUAUCGUACAUUGUAAAGGACAUCAAAGAGGUAACUGAUCAAGAGAUUGGAAAUAAUGUGGCUGAUCGUGAGGCUAAACAGGCAGCAGAAACAGAAAGGGUUGAGGUGAUGUCCUUAAUUCCUGACAGUAAACUGGUAAUUGAGCAAAAUAAACCUAGGUACUCUAAAGAAGAUACAAAACUAACUGAAGACUUGGAAGGACAGGAAAAUGAAAAGGGUUGGAUAAAAAUACCUGAUGGGCAAACAGUGAUCCCCUAUAAUCAAUUAUGGAAGUUGAUACAAGAAGAACAUAACACACUGGGGAAGUAAUGCCUUGUAUAAACAUUUAAACAAACAGAUCAUAGGAAGAAAUUUCUGUACCAUAGUGCAAUUAGUGACAAAAGAAUGUCAACUGUGUCUGAAAAAUAACCCUAAGACUGAAAACAUGAAUCAGGUAGGGACAAUUGGAAAAGUGAAUUAUCUGGGACAACAGUGGCAAAUAGAUUUUUCUGAAUUACCUAGAAAAGGAGGUUAUUGAUAUUUGUUGGUAUUAACAGAUACUUUUUCAGGGUGGCCAGAAUCAUUCCCUUGUGGAAUAAAUAAUGCAAGACGAGUAAUUAAAACAUUAUUAAACGAUAUAAUACCUUGUUUUGGAGUACCGGAAGCAAUUUCUUCCAACCGAGGCUUACACUUUAGCGCAAAAUAGUUAUAAGAAAUAAGCAAAAAAUUAGGAAUUGAUUGGCAACUACAUGUUUCAUACAGGCCUCAGGCCAGUGGGCGAGUAGAAAAGAUGGUUCAUCUGAUCAAACAACAGAUUGGUAAAAUAUGUCAGGAAAUGAAUUAAUAUUGGUACCAAGGUUUACCACUGGCUCUAUUAAGAAUUCGAACUAAACCUUGGUCGGAAGAAGCAGCUAGACCAUGUAAAAUUUUAUAUGGAAGACCAUAUCAGUCCCAGUUUAAAGGAGAAAGUCUUCUGGAAGUGGGAGAAGGCUAUCUCUGAGAGUUUCUGGUCAAUCUGGGAAAACAAUUAGAAGAAAUAUGAGAACACUGGGGACAAGAGUGAGAAGCAUGAAUUACCCGACUCACCCUUUUAGAUCCAGAGACUGGGUCUAUGUUAAGAAUUUUUCAGGAGAUUCUCUACAGGAGAAAUAGAGCGGACUGUACGAGAUAAUAUUGACCACCUUUACAGCAGUGAAGAUACAGGAACAACCUGCUUGGAUACAUUAUUCAAGAACCAGAAACACAUCAGAACAGAGAAAAAGUAUGGCAUGUUGAGUCUUCAGGACCCACACAUACGAGACUACAUCGAUCAUAAUUUGAACUUGUAUAAUAAUAGGUAUAGAAGCAUGGAAUCAAAAUCUGUAUCUGAGACUGAUACAAAAUGUUACUAAUGUCUUAAACAGGAGUGAUUGUUGGGUCUGUACUCAGCUACCUAAAUCAGGAGAGAGACUGGGUAUUCCUUUAAUUGGCCUCCCUAUCCCCUUUAACACAAAUUGGAAUAGAUUAUGGAGAGAUGCUCUUUACGCCUACAAGGGCCAUACAAAUUUACAGGUUUUAAGGAUACAAGCCUCAAAUAUGUCAGAAGUUAAAUGUGUAACCACUAACAAAACUCUUAAUCAAGGCAACAUGUCAGUAGGAAAUUA
Long non-coding RNA from Pezoporus occidentalis (night parrot), 2776 nucleotides. RefSeq lists it as uncharacterized. The transcript has 2 exons. NCBI's taxonomy places the organism in Eukaryota, Metazoa, Chordata, Aves, Psittaciformes, Psittacidae. The record is from RefSeq and is a predicted model, not a curated record.